This 5853-nucleotide long non-coding RNA is filed under the name Malus domestica (apple). RNAcentral's name for it is "long non-coding RNA (MDOM_LNC014091)". The record is from RNAcentral. Lineage: Eukaryota; Viridiplantae; Streptophyta; Magnoliopsida; Rosales; Rosaceae.
CCAGUAGUCUUUUGUAAUACCAUAUAUAUGUAGAAUAUUAUUAGAAAUCGUAGCAAUUAAGCUACUAGCUAGGGUUUCUCAUUCGUAUUGUGAAGGCCAAAGGAAGGCUCCCAUGGCAAACUUCCUCUUCUGGUUGACAUCCCCAAUGAGUGGGAGGCCGUACUGCUUCAUAAGGCAGUCCAGUUUCCAUUCAGGCAUGCUCUCAUAGUCACUCUUCUGGUACCUUGGGUAGUGCAGAGGCAUCUGGAAGUUGCAUGGGGUGUUGUUCUUGCUAGUUUGCUCAUUUACUUGGAGACCGCCGGGCAUGGUGAAAGCGUGGUUGCUAAAGCCAGUUCCAGUGGUACUCAUCUUCUCAAAUAUGUUGAGAAAGCUGGUAACUCAUGCAGAGUUGCUAACUUGGUAGUUGGUGUUGCAAAGUUGGCCUUUUAUAGGCAUCCCAAAGAGCAUGAUAGUGGAAGAUUACUCGAGUAUGCGCUUGAAGAUAAGACAGAGCAAUCAAGAAAACAUUUAAUGCGAUGAAAGCUAAAUCACAUUGAAGAAUGUGUGGUGACAAACUUUUGAGUGUUACACAUUCAUACUAUCAUGUGGUGUUAGCGAAAUACGUAUUAAUAUAUAUAUAUAUAUAUAUAUAUAUAUAUAUAUAUAAUACGUGUUUCAUAUUUAUAAAUCAUAGAUAAAAAUUCAUAUUUUAUGACUCAUGAAAAUAGUAUUAACAAAUAAUAUAUGUUAUACAAUAUAAGUAAAUUAAAUCAUGUGACAAUAUUGUAACCCCCACAUCAAAAAGAUUACUGAGCCAUCUUUUGGUAGAUUUUCAUGACGAAGGUAAACUUGGAUAAAUUUGGAUUCUAGGCCUCGUUUGAUAUUUAGGAUUGGGUUAGUUUGGACAAUCCAUUUCAAUGAAAGUUGAACAAAAAUAGGGAUGCCAACUUGCAUAUUUUGUUAAAUGAAGGUAGAAGAUGGAGAAAUCAUGAAGAAAACUUAUCCCUCAAAAUCCCCACAAAAAUGGUAGAAUUGAGAGGGCCAAAUUUGCUUCAUGACUUUUCUAUCUUCGACCUAGAGUAGACGGACGUUGGUUAGGUUUGAGAAGAUGAGUUUUUGGAAGAAAAUAUUUUAGGGAUAAAUUUGGGAUUUUCUGGAUCAAAUAUUUUAGUUUGGUGUAUUAAUUUAUUUAAAAAUUGGGUGCCAAUAGAGGCACCUGAAAAUUAUAGUUAGCAAAUAAAUUAUUGGACCAAAAUACUUUAUGGAACCGUUGAAUACAUGGUAAUAUUGUCAUUUGCCAAGGUGGAAGGAAUUAGUUGUGAUGUAUCUAGUGUUCCAAUAAAAUUGAUAUUGAGGAGGGAGUAAUUGUUGGAAUCAAAUUUGUGCACUAUCAUGGAUGGCGGAGGCACAAAUUAGAGUAACAUUUAAAACAGAAAAAACCGUGAGCAAGUCUAAGAUAGGGUGAGUUGUGUGUGCCAGCCAAAGGAUCUCUAACGAUCAGGUUAGUAAGCAAGUAUAAGACUAAAGCAACGGGUAAGAGAAUUAGAGAGCGAUGAUUGUGCUACCAGAGAUGAACCCUGUGUGUAUUUAUAUCAGUCGAGAAAGAGACAUUUUUAUGAUAGAAUCUUUGUGCUAAGUUGAGAGAAUCUUAGAGGAUAUCUAGAAGUAAAUAUUGUCAUCCUCUUAGAAUGUGAUUACUUGUGGCGCACGCCAAUUCCUAGAUUGUAGGAACUGUAAUACAUAUAGAGAAUAUGGUUGAUUCUGUGCUGGAUCAUAUCCUCUUAUCUUGAGGAACAAGCAUGGUCAUUCUCAACGAAGUUGCUGAAACUUCACUCACUGCUCUGGAAUAGGAUGAUGGUGGUACCACUGCUUCGUUUGAUUUAGCUCCGCUCGGAGCUGUUGAGUGCAUGAUCAGACUCCUGAGGUAAUUGUAUUCUAAUUAGCCUUAUUCGGCCCUGGAAAAUUAUAUAGUCCAACGGUAAUUAUAAAAAAAAAUAAAUAAAAAAAAAACCUCAAGAAUAAGAGCAAGCAGAUGAUCUCAAUCACUUGAGUAAUUGGCCCUUGCUGAAAUGUAUGUAGUUGUAAUACCAAGAUGCUAAUAAUGCCAAAAUAUCCUGAUAAUGCUACUAAAUGCCAACAAAAUGCUUUUCCGAACAAUUCUGAUAUAUUUUCUUCCCUGAUAUCAUAGCAACUUGAUCAAUGUCCCUCUUUCAAUAAAUCCCUGGCCUUGGCCAGUUGUUCCUCUAUGCCAAAAUUGGAAUAAGUCCUCACAACUAUUCAAUGAUCAAGUGCAAAUGUUGAGCAUAUGUCGCCCAAUGAUGAGGAUGCCAAAGCUCCAGUCCAUUUUUAAUGACAUAUAAUUGUUAUAGCUAGUUAUACUUAUGCAUCACUUGAUGAAUUCAGAUAAACAACAGCCAAUCAAUCUCACUCAAAUCGUUAAUUUGUCUAUCGGAAAAUCAAUGAAGCGCAACAACAUUGCAUUGCAUUGCAGCCAGAAGAAUCGAUCUGCCAUCUUUUUCUCAACCCUAGCAAUUUGAAUCGAUCUGAGUGGAUAAACUGUGUGCGUGCUCCCGGACGCAAGAAAAUGAUCUAUAAUCUAUGAUCUAUCCUUGUCUCUAGCAAACCGAAUCGAUUAAGGCAAAGGGACCCGAAACACAAGUGGGCUUAACUAGUUAUAAGAAAGUCAAAGUAUUUGGAUGUUCACAACGAUCACCAGAUCAUGAAAAGACAUAUUUCAUGCUCAUUAGGGCAGCUGGAGCAUUCUAGUUCUACGAGUGAAAUGAUACAAGGUUAUUAUUGAUCCACAUCAAUCUCAGGUUGUGGAGUUGAAACGUCAUGCAUGCAUGGUGGGCAUGGGAUUGCAGGAAGGUGACUGACUGGAUAAAAAUGAAAUAGAAGGGUACUGAUUAUUUUCUGUGUCCGAAUUUGUGUGCCGUGGAUGAGAGGUCAUGUGUUAUUUUCAUAUUUAUUGAGAAAACCUAAUGUGAAGAAACUUCAUGCCAAACCCACUUCACCUAAGAUGGCAUCUAAUAGGAUUUUCACCAUCUGCAUACUCAGGGUUAAAUCCCAUAGAGUACUUGCAAGAGAAUAAAGUUAUUGUAGUAUAACGGCUCAAGCAAAGACGAUCUUCAUAGAAACUGAGAUGAAUAUUUUGUGUUUAAGUACAAUUCUUAUUUAACUAUUUAAUACAAGAUUAAGAAAGAUGAGAAUAUUGAAUAAAAGUAACAAGUGCAAAUAAAGAGAAAUAUUACAAGCUAAAAAUAAUAAUUGUAAAAAUAGCAAUCCAAAAAGUUUAAUAAGCAUUAGGGUUCAGCCGUCACCAGUAAAAAUCCUAUGUAGUUCUAUUAAUUACUUUUGCGUCAACACAUGCAAACUUUCAGCUUAGGUUUUCCUUAUGCAUAUUCCACUCGUGACAUUCAAGUUAGAACGUAUAUCCAAUAUGCAAUGCGUAAUUUGACAUUCACAUAAAAAAUCAACAUGCAAGACUCGUUAAAUUUUGUGAGAGCCUUAUAAAAAACCAGGGUAACCUUAAGAGCAUGACACUCACGUGAACAUACAAUUUCCAACCACAAGAAGCAUUAACCAAUUUCAGGCUGACAUUCCAAUAGGAAUUGCAUCCGAUUACUUGUCUAAACAUCUUAAUAGCGAUAAAGUGUUAAGACAUAAAGAUAGUUUAAAACAGUGAUUGAAAAUUCAAAGUAAGCAUAUAUAACAAUAUAAGUAAGUUAAAAAGAAACUAUAUAUUCAUGUUAAAACUCGUAACCUCGCCCAAGCAAAAGAGUUAAUUAGAAAUAAAACAUAAUGGAAUAUCAAAAGUUUUCUUGUGUUGGGAUCAAUAUUCUAACAAAUGCAAGGCACUAGUCGAGCGAUGGGUUGGGGCUAGGCGGGAGCCUAGGCGGAUUUGAAUAAUUUAUUAUAUAUUAUAUAAACUAAUUAAAUUUGAACAUUAAAUAAUAUGUUAUUUUUCAAAAAGGUGAGAGUUUUAGCCUUUUAGGUACAUAAUAAAAAUAUAUGUGGUGUGAUCUUAAAUAGGGUAAUAAAACCCCAUAAAAACAAACAUAAAAAAGUGACAUUUAAGAGAGAAAAAAAUAGUAAAAAAAGAUGGUGGGACCAUCUUAAGAAAAAUCAUGCAAUUAAAAAUUUUAAAUGAUGUUGGGAAUAGGGUUGUCUCCUUCCUUGCACGAGGUUGACUCUGCAACAAAAGAUUUCCAAAUUCCGACGCUUACAUAUAAUCCCGCCUAGCUUCCGCCCAUCCCAGCCUAGACUUGCCUAACUCCACUUUAUCCGGCCUGGGCGUCCGCCCAAUGUGCUUUCCGAUUUUGUGGCUGAUCAUGAGUUAAAUCGCGGCAGCCUACUUGAUCUAGCACCUAGGCAGCCGCCUAGGCUAAUUUUUUGAACACUAGGUGGGAUCUUAGUUUAGUUCGUUGAAUUCUGGUAAAGCGGACACUCUCCAAACUACAAGCACUGGGUAGAGACAAGAUUCUAUAUUUCAAGGAUAUUGCGAUACACAAGUCUCGAACUUUAUUCCAUUUGUUUAAUUUCAGUUUGUUUUAUUCAAAUUGUAUCCAUGUAUAUAGUUGUAAUUUAUUGUUCAUUAGCAUAUAAUUUUGGGUACAUAUAUUUCAAAUUUAUUUCUGCAAUAUAUUAAAUUUGUGAUUGAUUGUUGAUACUUAUCUAACAUCUUGAACACGUGCUUCAUAAUGAUCAUCUCGGUUGAGGUAUAUUUGCAACCAACAAGUAAUUGUGUACACAAAGAUGGUUUUCAUCCAAUAAAAUUGGGAUUCAAGUCAAAUUUUUAAGUUGUGCUCAUAGUUACCGCAGUUUCGGUCACUUUUGGGGGACAAUAUUCUCGACGUUAGGAGGAGAAAUGAUAGUUUUCAAAGAACGCCGAGAAUUAGCGUUGAUACAUGUGCAUUUGUCUCAUCCAAACUAUAUAUGAGUUAGAAGGGACUAUGAUGAUUAAUCUAUUGCAUGCCUAAAGCAUGACAGAUAUAUAAGUUCUAAACUUUGAACUCUCUGUAAGUGGAGAUUAAUUAAGUUCAAGUCCUAAUUGAAAAUAACUCUCCGUAGGAGGGCAUAUCCAAGUAAUUCAUCUUAAGAUAUUUGUCCUAGAUGUAACAAUGGAAGCCCCAAAGAGUCAUUGUACCCAAGCAAUGGAAUACUUAUAUAUUAAGCAUGCCAAUGAGAAUUGUUAGGUCACAAAUUGAUGAUAAUCAAUAAUUAUUAUAAUAGCUAAUCAUAUCAUGAAGGACUAUUUAGUCACGUUUUCCCAAAAAUAUCGACAAAGUAAAGGGUGGCCAAAACUAGAAAGAGAUAAUUCCAUUUUGAGCCACUGAAAAACGUGAAAUCAAUGAACCUAUAAUUUAAACCCCAAAUUUAUUCUUGCGUGUGUGUAAUAAAAAUAAAUAAGCCCACUAAUAUGGCAUAAGACUUUGUAAUAUAUUUCAUUAUAGAUGCAAUCACAUUUCUAGAAGUACAGUGUUAAUUUAGACGUGAGACUUAUCACUUUGUGGAGAUUGCAUACUAACCAUUUGAGAUUUUAUCUCUCAAAGUAAUUCUUACAGUAUGAAAAUGCCAUGAAAUUCUUUAUCAAAGUUCUCAAAUGAAGUUCCUAAAUUUAUUUGAUUACAUUAAUGCAAGACUACAGUUAAAAAUUUAUAAUGUAUUGUUGAAUACUUUAGAAAUUGUAGUAAAGCUAGUGUUUCUGCUACUCUCAUUCAUGCUGGGAAGGCCAAAGGAAGGCCCCCAUGGCAAACUUCCUCUUCUGGCUGACACCUCCAAUGACUAGGAGACCGUACUGCAUCAAAAAAUAGUCCAGUUUCCACUCAAGCAUGCUCUCAGAGUCUCUCUUCUAGUAUCUUGGGUAGUGUAGAG